GCGGAUGUAGCUCAGCUGGAUAGAGUACCUGGCUACGAACCAGGCGGUCGGAGGUUCGCCUCCUCCCAUCCGCACCA
RNAcentral lists this transfer RNA (77 nucleotides) under Shewanella hanedai. RNAcentral describes it as "tRNA-Arg". It matches the Rfam family "tRNA". Rfam says of the family: Transfer RNA (tRNA) molecules are approximately 80 nucleotides in length. Their secondary structure includes four short double-helical elements and three loops (D, anti-codon, and T loops). Lineage: Bacteria; Pseudomonadati; Pseudomonadota; Gammaproteobacteria; Alteromonadales; Shewanellaceae. The record is from RNAcentral.